RNAcentral lists this ribosomal RNA (326 nucleotides) under uncultured eukaryote. RNAcentral's name for it is "partial 18S ribosomal RNA". It matches the Rfam family "Eukaryotic small subunit ribosomal RNA", at positions 1470 to 1796 of the family's 1831-position model. The record is from RNAcentral.
CCCUUAGAUGUUCUGGGCCGCACGCGCGCUACACUGAUGCAUUCAACAAGCCUAGCCUUGACCGAGAGGUCCGGGUAAUCUUUGAAACUGCAUCGUGAUGGGGCUAGAUUAUUGCAAUUAUUAAUCUUCAACGAGGAAUGCCUAGUAAGCGUGAUUCAUCAAAUCGCGUUGAUUACGUCCCUGCCCUUUGUACACACCGCCCGUCGCUCCUACCGAUUGAAUGUGUUGGUGAGAAGCUCGGAUUGGCAGCAGUUGGUGGUUCGCCACCGGCUAUUGCUGAGAAGUCCUCCAAACCGCCCCAUUUAGAGGAAGGAGAAGUCGUAACA